Molecule: ribosomal RNA, 289 nt
Filed under: uncultured Paracoccaceae bacterium
Lineage: Bacteria; Pseudomonadati; Pseudomonadota; Alphaproteobacteria; Rhodobacterales; Paracoccaceae
Description: uncultured Rhodobacteraceae bacterium partial 16S ribosomal RNA
Source: RNAcentral
CUACUGGGGUAUCUAAUCCUGUUUGCUCCCCACACUUUCGCACCUCAGCGUCAGUAUCGAGCCAGUGAGCCGCCUUCGCCACUGGUGUUCCUCCGAAUAUCUACGAAUUUCACCUCUACACUCGGAAUUCCACUCACCUCUCUCGAACUCAAGACCAGCAGUAUCAAGGGCCGUUCCGGGGUUGAGCCCCGGGAUUUCACCCCUGACUGACUGAUCCGCCUACGCGCGCUUUACGCCCAGUAAUUCCGAACAACGCUAGUCCCCUCCGUAUUACCGCGGCUGCUGGCAC